ACGACCAUCUACCGUUGAAACACUGGUUUUCGUACGAUCACCGAAGUUAAGCAACGUCAUACCUAGUUACUACCUAGAUGGGUGACGGCUAGGUAAAACCAGGUGUUGUU
Molecule: non-coding RNA, 110 nt
Organism: Acanthosepion pharaonis
Lineage: Eukaryota; Metazoa; Mollusca; Cephalopoda; Sepiida; Sepiidae
Source: the annotation of a GenBank genome assembly